Molecule: long non-coding RNA, 661 nt
Organism: Perognathus longimembris pacificus (Pacific pocket mouse)
Lineage: Eukaryota; Metazoa; Chordata; Mammalia; Rodentia; Heteromyidae
Exons: 2
Source: RefSeq, a predicted model, not a curated record
AUACCAAACAUUUUUCUAAAAAGGAAGAAAAAUACAUAAAAUGUUAUACUACUUUCAUAGCACUAUACUCAUUGACAGAUUCAGAAGUCCCGUGAUAGGGCUAGGAAUAUGGCUCAAGUAGUAGAACAUGACGCCCUGAAUUCAAACCCUAAAAGUAUUGCAGUAAAUAAAAUGGUUUGAUUUGUUUAACCUGAUGAUUAUCAAACUUAUCUGUGUGUGAAACUCCUUCCAAGCCUUCAUGUUAACAGAAGACCAACGAAUUAUCCUUUUGAAAAUUCUAAAAUUCUGUGUGAUGGUUCAUACCACUAAAUAAGAAAGCAGAGCUACAGCUGAAGAGCUUCCUGGAUGUUGUCACGUGAUGUGGCCUUGCCAUAAAACCUAGGUCUAUUCAGAGUCUUCCUAUAAAACAUCUUUGGAGAUAGCUGAGAGAUGGUGAUCUGUGUGCCAGGUUAGCUGUUACCUCUUUUCCCAGGCCUACUGAGGCAAGACAAACAACCUAUCAACUGUGCAGACAACAGCUCAAGCAAUUGCACUGCACACACACACACACACACACACACACACACACACACACACACACCUUUUUCUCUAAUAAGUACUCACCUCUUUGUACUUUGAAUAAAUGUGGAAAUACAAGUGAGCCAAACAUUAGUAACCCUAU